RNAcentral lists this transfer RNA (71 nucleotides) under Coturnicops exquisitus. RNAcentral describes it as "tRNA-Trp". It matches the Rfam family "tRNA". Rfam says of the family: Transfer RNA (tRNA) molecules are approximately 80 nucleotides in length. Their secondary structure includes four short double-helical elements and three loops (D, anti-codon, and T loops). Lineage: Eukaryota; Metazoa; Chordata; Aves; Gruiformes; Rallidae. The record is from RNAcentral.
AGAAAAUUAGGAUAGACCGAAACCAAAGGCCUUCAAAGCCUUAAACAAGAGUUAAACCCUCUUAGUUUCUG